CACCCGCAGCUCGAGUGGUGGUCACUUUUAUUGAGCCUAAAGCGUUCGUAGCCGGCUCUGUAAAUCUUCAGACAAAUUCUUCUGCUUAACGGAAGAUCCUCUGGAGAGACUGCAGAGCUAGGGACCGGGUGAGGUUGAAGGUACUUCUGGGGUAGGGGUAAAAUCCUGUAAUCCUGGAAGGACGACCGGUGGCGAAGGCGUUCAACUAGAACGGAUCCGACGGUGAGGCACGAUGGCUAGGGGAGCAAACCGG
RNAcentral lists this ribosomal RNA (253 nucleotides) under uncultured archaeon. Its description in RNAcentral is "partial 16S ribosomal RNA". It matches the Rfam family "Archaeal small subunit ribosomal RNA", at positions 474 to 727 of the family's 1478-position model. The record is from RNAcentral.